RNAcentral lists this ribosomal RNA (983 nucleotides) under Arthrobacter sp. Its description in RNAcentral is "bacterial SSU rRNA". It matches the Rfam family "Bacterial small subunit ribosomal RNA", at positions 56 to 1052 of the family's 1533-position model. Lineage: Bacteria; Bacillati; Actinomycetota; Actinomycetes; Micrococcales; Micrococcaceae. The record is from RNAcentral.
UGCAAGUCGAACGAUGAUCCCAAGCUUGCUGGGGGAUUAGUGGCGAACGGGUGAGUAACACGUGAGUAACCUGCCCUUGACUCUGGGAUAAGCCUGGGAAACUGGGUCUAAUACCGGAUAUGACUCCUCAUCGCAUGGUGGGGGGUGGAAAGCUUUUGUGGUUUUGGAUGGACUCGCGGCCUAUCAGCUUGUUGGUGGGGUAAUGGCCUACCAAGGCGACGACGGGUAGCCGGCCUGAGAGGGUGACCGGCCACACUGGGACUGAGACACGGCCCAGACUCCUACGGGAGGCAGCAGUGGGGAAUAUUGCACAAUGGGCGCAAGCCUGAUGCAGCGACGCCGCGUGAGGGAUGACGGCCUUCGGGUUGUAAACCUCUUUCAGUAGGGAAGAAGCGAAAGUGACGGUACCUGCAGAAGAAGCGCCGGCUAACUACGUGCCAGCAGCCGCGGUAAUACGUAGGGCGCAAGCGUUAUCCGGAAUUAUUGGGCGUAAAGAGCUCGUAGGCGGUUUGUCGCGUCUGCUGUGAAAGACCGGGGCUCAACUCCGGUUCUGCAGUGGGUACGGGCAGACUAGAGUGCAGUAGGGGAGACUGGAAUUCCUGGUGUAGCGGUGAAAUGCGCAGAUAUCAGGAGGAACACCGAUGGCGAAGGCAGGUCUCUGGGCUGUAACUGACGCUGAGGAGCGAAAGCAUGGGGAGCGAACAGGAUUAGAUACCCUGGUAGUCCAUGCCGUAAACGUUGGGCACUAGGUGUGGGGGACAUUCCACGUUUUCCGCGCCGUAGCUAACGCAUUAAGUGCCCCGCCUGGGGAGUACAGCCGCAAGGCUAAAACUCAAAGGAAUUGACGGGGGCCCGCACAAGCGGCGGAGCAUGCGGAUUAAUUCGAUGCAACGCGAAAAACCUUACCAAGGCUUGACAUGAACCGGAAAGACCUGGAAACAGGUGCCCCGCUUGCGGUCGGUUUACAGGUGGUGCAUGGUUGU